Denticeps clupeoides (denticle herring) is the source of this 1743-nucleotide long non-coding RNA. The record is from Ensembl. NCBI's taxonomy places the organism in Eukaryota, Metazoa, Chordata, Actinopteri, Clupeiformes, Denticipitidae.
CAGCUUGAAAGAUGAGACGUGGAAGGCUGGAGAGAGAAACAAAAAGUCGUGUCACAAAUAGUAUAUCUGCUGAGAGACAUGUUCUCUCCUUGCACAACCAACCAGUGACCCAGAGUCAUAUGAGCUAUGAACCGUCAAAUGGUGUUGCUUUUCAUUUACUGGCUUGUUAUUUUACUUUCUCUGGGAUCAACUCAUAAAGUUGUGAACGGCCGAAGAAAAUGGCAAAAACGUCAGUUUCCCGUUUUAGACCUGCAGUUGUUUACAAGAUCUUCUCAGCUUGAUGAGAAGCUCACAGAGAUCAUGUUCAUGAGAGGAGGCUUACAUGUGCUGAGAAGUUAAACCGACAGAUGUGUGGACUGCUGGAGGUUCAGCGCCCUCUGGUGAUCAGCACCCUUCCAGUCCAGCCCUUCAUAGUUCAUGCUCAACAAAUUAAUGUAAAUAAAAAACAAUUGAAAUGAAAACAGUCCAUAAUAUCACUUCAGCAUUUCAGCUUUUAAUACCCAAUACACACAAAAUAGUUAUUGAUUAAUUUGGUGGUGAAUGUGUUCCUGUGAUAGUGCUGUUUGUGAAAUAAAUUCUGGUGUAUGUUGCAGUUUCAAUUUGACCUCAGUACCACUUUUCUUGGGUCAUUAUUAAAGCCAAAUGAAAGGUUAAAAAAGAGCAAGUGGUUGUGUGAGUGCAGUAUUUUAACAUUUGCAGCAAUCUUAUGAUAUCAUCUUGAGAAAACUCAGUGUUAACCACAAUGCUAAUACUAUAUCGCUUUUUUUUUACAUUAAGGCCCAGAAGUAUCAUAAAAAGUGUAGUAAACAUGUAAAAUGUGUUUGAAAGGAAAAUCAGCUUAUGAAUGGAAAAUGGAAAACAAAAACUUCAACUUAAAAUGCAGAUUAUAAAAAAAAAAGAAAAAAAAAUGUUUGUCUAAAUAUAUAGCUUCAGGUUUGAAGUGCAAGAUAAAGUAAAAGCAGAAGGCGAAAAGACAAAAACUAAGUCAGUCUACGUUCAUGCAGCUUCACUUCACUUUCACAACAGUUGGUUCCCCCUGAUGGCUGGUGUCACUUUAUAUUUAAGUGAAGUGAAGUGAUUGUCAUUGUGAACAGUGACACAACGAAAUGUGUCCUCUGUAUUUAACCAUCACCCUUGGUGAGCAGUGUGCAGCCAUGACAGGUGCCCAGGCAGCAGUGUGUGGGGACGGUGCUCAGUUGCACCUCAGUGGCACCUUUGUGGCUCGGGAUCUGAACUGACAACCUUCUGAUUAUCCACUAGGCCACCACUGCCCCAGUUGAAAUAAUUUAGGUUAUUAAUUUAUUAAUUAACUUUUAAAAUGUAAAAUAAUGGAUUAAUUAGUAUUUUAUAAGAUCAUGAAAGUUAUUUGUAAACUGAAUUGAUAGUGAAUAUUGUAAUUGAACAUUAAGUGCCAUUUGUGGUCUUCCACACUUUCAGACCCCAAAGAAGUGCAAAAGUCCUGUGAGUCAUCCAAACCACCCUUGUUCUAGUAUUGAAUUGACCAUGCUAAUGCAUCCAUCAUUUUUGUUGUCAUCUGAUCUAUAUUCAGGGUUGGUUAGUAGCGAGUUACAUGUAAUUGCAUUAUGUAAUUUAAUAACAAAUAAAAUGUAAUUGUGAUUAAUUACGUUACUGUAGGAAAAGGUCUAAAUAAAUUACAAUUACUUAUGGAAAAAUCAGUAGUUUCCAACCUUUUCAAUCGAGGGCAAAGUGCAUCAUAAGUGCACUGUAGACGUUUGAGCCGAG